GAUGAAGAACGUAGCGAAAUGCGAUAAGUAAUGUGAAUUGCAGAAUUCAGUGAAUCAUCGAAUCUUUGAACGCACAUUGCGCCCCCCAGUAUUCUGGCGGGCAUGCCUGUUCGAGCGUCAUUUCAACCAUCAAGCCCUGCUUGUGUUGGGGUCCUGCGGCUGCCCGCAGGCCCUGAAAACCAGUGGCGGGCUCGCUAGUCACACCGAGCGCAGUAGCACAUCUCGCUCAGGGCGUGCGGCGGGCUCCAGCCGUUAAAGCACCCACCUUUCGCAAGGUUGACCUCGGAUCAGGUAGGAAUACGCGCUGAACUUAAGCAUAUCAAUAAGCGGAGGA
RNAcentral lists this unclassified non-coding RNA (334 nucleotides) under soil metagenome. RNAcentral's name for it is "partial contains 5.8S ribosomal RNA, internal transcribed spacer 2, and large subunit ribosomal RNA". The stretch from base 1 to 120 matches the Rfam family "5.8S ribosomal RNA", at positions 35 to 154 of the family's 154-position model. The record is from RNAcentral.